RNAcentral lists this ribosomal RNA (484 nucleotides) under uncultured bacterium. Its description in RNAcentral is "partial 16S ribosomal RNA". It matches the Rfam family "Bacterial small subunit ribosomal RNA", at positions 30 to 507 of the family's 1533-position model. The record is from RNAcentral.
AUUGAACGCUGGCGGCAGGCCUAACACAUGCAAGUCGAGCGGAUGAAGGGAGCUUGCUCCUGGAUUCAGCGGCGGACGGGUGAGUAAUGCCUAGGAAUCUGCCUGGUAGUGGGGGAUAACGUCCGGAAACGGGCGCUAAUACCGCAUACGUCCUGAGGGAGAAAGUGGGGGGUCUUCGGACCUCACGCUAUCAGAUGAGCCUAGGUCGGAUUAGCUAGUUGGUGGGGUAAAGGCCUACCAAGGCGACGAUCCGUAACUGGUCUGAGAGGAUGAUCAGUCACACGGGAACUGAGACACGGUCCAGACUCCUACGGGAGGAAGCAGUGGGGAAUAUUGGACAAUGGGCGAAAGCCUGAUCCAGCCAUGCCGCGUGUGUGAAGAAGGUCUUCGGAUUGUAAAGCACUUUAAGUUGGGAGGAAGGGCAGUAAGUUAAUACCUUGCUGUUUUGACGGUACCAACAGAAUAAGCACCGGCUAACUUCGUG